UUUCCGUAGGUGAACCUGCGGAAGGAUCAUUCAUAAUAAAGUGUUUUAUGGCACUUUUUAAAAAUCCAUAUCCACCUUGUGUGCAAUGUUAGAUCUCGUCAAUCUUGGCGAGAUUUUUAUACAUCAACUCACUUUUUAACUAAUUUGUCUGAAAAAUAUAAUGAAUACUUAAUUCAAAAUACAACUUUCAACAACGGAUCUCUUGGCUCUC
This 211-nucleotide unclassified non-coding RNA is filed under the name plant metagenome. Its description in RNAcentral is "partial contains small subunit ribosomal RNA, internal transcribed spacer 1, and 5.8S ribosomal RNA". The record is from RNAcentral.